GUGUUCGUAGAAUGGAGAGAUGUUUGGCAUCUCCCUCGACAAGGACGGGAAUAACCUUCGGGUUUGAACACACAGAUGUGGUUAAGGCAUCCCACCCUCGGGUGGAUCUUACCCCCAGUUUUU
Selaginella moellendorffii is the source of this 123-nucleotide small nuclear RNA. NCBI's taxonomy places the organism in Eukaryota, Viridiplantae, Streptophyta, Lycopodiopsida, Selaginellales, Selaginellaceae. The record is from Rfam.